CUGUUAAUCAGCACGGACAGAGGUUAGAACAGCUCAAUACGAGAGAUGGUCGAGCUUUGAUCCGAACAGCCAUGCAGAACAUUCCGGCCAAAGCAUCAGAAAGUGUGCUGUCAGGCCUUUUGGAUUUAAAUUAAACCCUGUUAACCCAGAGAGGAAGGAGAAGGAAGACGGAGAGCAGAAGUCAGGGAUGUGCCAUUUUCUCUGACGUUCAGAGUGGACGACCAUUAACAAUUUGUGUGCACAGCAGAAAGAAAUAAGUGCCUGCUGACAGAUGGAUCAAUCCUGCGUUUCAGUGGCAGAGCUGCAGAAUAGAUGAUCGUGGUUCCCACAGUUGGCAAACGGCAGAGAUUUGCUCCACUCCGUUCAGCCGCACACAGGGAAGCACCAUUAGCCGCGAUAGACGCCCUCCCUGCGCGAGAAAUGAGCAAUUGACCCCGGCUGCUACUCUCAAACUGGCGCCUUAUCAGAACCUGGGGGAACGUGUUGUCAUCUGAAUGAGAUAAGUUUAUUUUCUUCCGUCCGGCAUUUGUUCCGAUAUGCGGGGAGUCUGAACGGGGAGAGGAAGAGCAGCGGGGAACCCGUCACCGACACACGCUGCGAAAAACAAGACACGGCCGUGAAACGUUUGGCCAUCACCCAAAUCUCUGCCUCCACCUUCUGCGCGGGCUCCCAGCCUCGGAGAGAAACAGGAGGCGGCAAUAUUGUGGAACAAAUUUCCGCUAAUGUGAACCUGCUGGUGGGGACUCAAGGGAGGAAGGUGGACUCACAUGACUAUUCG
Molecule: long non-coding RNA, 778 nt
Organism: Labeo rohita (rohu)
Lineage: Eukaryota; Metazoa; Chordata; Actinopteri; Cypriniformes; Cyprinidae
Exons: 2
Source: RefSeq, a predicted model, not a curated record